Myotis brandtii (Brandt's bat) is the source of this 269-nucleotide long non-coding RNA. RefSeq lists it as uncharacterized. The record is from RefSeq and is a predicted model, not a curated record. The transcript has 2 exons. NCBI's taxonomy places the organism in Eukaryota, Metazoa, Chordata, Mammalia, Chiroptera, Vespertilionidae.
AGCAACCCAGAGGUUCUUCGGGGUGAAGCAGAUCUGUUCCCACUUGUCUGCAAGCAAUUGGCUUUCUCCUUUCUUCGUUCUGCCAAGGAAAUGAAUGUGAUGAUGUGAUGGCUGGAACGUUGGCAGUCAUCUUAGACCAGGAACUGAAAACGGCUUGAAGAGAAAUGUGGAGCAAAGAGAUUGAAGGAACCUGGAUCCCAUACUGACCUGGCACUAUCUCCUGCAGACUUGUUUUUCACAAGAGAGGAAUAAACGUCUAUCUUUCUUAA